This 420-nucleotide ribosomal RNA is filed under the name Triticum aestivum (bread wheat). RNAcentral's name for it is "partial small subunit ribosomal RNA". Lineage: Eukaryota; Viridiplantae; Streptophyta; Magnoliopsida; Poales; Poaceae. The record is from RNAcentral.
AUGAGGUCAACAGUAGAGAUGAUAAAGGGCAAAAUGUCGCCGGUUGAUGUUGGGACGAUGAUGCCUACAGAAGUACCGUGGUUGACCAGUCCGUGGCCUGCUCCGGCGAUUGACAAGGUUGCAUUGUCGGUGGAUGGCCCCUAUUGCCUGGAUGAUGGUCUUGCCUCAACUGGAAUGAAUUUACGCCGUCAUGGCGGUAGUGUUUUGUUUGCAGCCUAUAAAUUCACCUUUGACUGCAAUGAUGCACUAGAGGCGGAGCUACAUGCGUUGAUACAAGGGAUGGCCUUGAGAAUCCAACACUCGAAGGGGAGUAUCAUUGUCCAAUCAGAUUACUCUAAAGCCUUGUCAUGUCUUUAUGAUAAUAGGCUUCCAGGUCGGCAUAUGGUGUCUAAGUUGCAGAGAUCACGGAACACAUGCUAG